Molecule: ribosomal RNA, 372 nt
Filed under: uncultured bacterium
Lineage: Bacteria
Description: bacterial SSU rRNA
Rfam family: Bacterial small subunit ribosomal RNA
Source: RNAcentral
UACGGAGGGUGCAAGCGUUAUCCGGAUUCACUGGGUUUAAAGGGUGCGCAGGCGGGAUAAUAAGUCAGAGGUGAAAUCCUACGGCUCAACUGUAGAACUGCCUUUGAUACUGUUGUUCUUGAGUAAAGUUGGAGUGGGCGGAAUGUGUUGUGUAGCGGUGAAAUGCUUAGAUAUAACACAGAACACCGAUCGCGAAGGCAGCUCACUAAGCUUUAACUGACACUCAUGCACGAAAGCGUGGGGAUCAAACAGGAUUAGAUACCCUGGUAGUCCACGCUGUAAACGAUGAUCACUCGCUGUUGGCGAUAUACUGUCAGUGGCUAAGCGAAAGUGAUAAGUGAUCCACCUGGGGAGUACGAUCGCAAGAUUGAA